Molecule: ribosomal RNA, 492 nt
Filed under: uncultured bacterium
Lineage: Bacteria
Description: partial 16S ribosomal RNA
Rfam family: Bacterial small subunit ribosomal RNA
Source: RNAcentral
AGUGAACGCUGGCGGUAGGCCUAACACAUGCAAGUCGAACGGCAGCACAGUAAGAGCUUGCUCUUACGGGUGGCGAGUGGCGGACGGGUGAGGAAUACAUCGGAAUCUACUUUUUCGUGGGGGAUAACGUAGGGAAACUUACGCUAAUACCGCAUACGACCUACGGGUGAAAGCAGGGGAUCUUCGGACCUUGCGCGAUUGAAUGAGCCGAUGUCGGAUUAGCUAGUUGGCGGGGUAAAGGCCCACCAAGGCGACGAUCCGUAGCUGGUCUGAGAGGAUGAUCAGCCACACUGGAACUGAGACACGGUCCAGACUCCUACGGGAGGCAGCAGUAGGGAAUAUUGGACAAUGGGCGCAAGCCUGAUCCAGCCAUGCCGCGUGGGUGAAGAAGGCCUUCGGGUUGUAAAACCCUUUUGUUGGGAAAGAAAAGCAGCAGGUUAAUACCCCGCUGUUCUGACGGUACCCAAAGAAUAAGCACCGGCUAACUACGUG